AGGGUUAAGGUUUUUAUGCCUGAGUAGUAUUAGUUAUGUUCUUGAACUUAAAGAAUUUGGCGGUAUCUUAUUCCAUUCAGAGGAAUCUGUCUCGUUAUCGAUAGUCCGCGUUGGACCUUACUUGGAAGUUGUGGUUUGUAUACCGCCGUUUAUUGAUUAUCUUUUGAGAGUUGAUUUUCUGGUUUCUUUAUUUUGAUUGAUUUCAGGUCAAGGUGCAGCCUUUAUCUAAGUGUGAUAGAUGGAUUACAGUGUUUAUUUGUUGUUUGGAUUGUUUGGUUUUAAUACUAGCAUGAAAUUGGAUUUGGUUGUAAUGUUUUGUAGAUUGUUUUUAUGAUAAUUGGUUCUAAGAUAUGUACACAUCGCCCGUCGCUCUCGUUUAGUUGUUAAUGAGAUAAGUCGUAAAAUAGUAA
RNAcentral lists this ribosomal RNA (410 nucleotides) under Microtermes sp. NA-2018. Its description in RNAcentral is "partial 12S ribosomal RNA". Lineage: Eukaryota; Metazoa; Arthropoda; Insecta; Blattodea; Termitidae. The record is from RNAcentral.